Molecule: non-coding RNA, 45 nt
Filed under: Schistosoma curassoni
Lineage: Eukaryota; Metazoa; Platyhelminthes; Trematoda; Strigeidida; Schistosomatidae
Source: RNAcentral
AUCCGGCCGACGAGUCCCAAAUAGGAUGAAACACGCGUCCUGAAU